RNAcentral lists this ribosomal RNA (406 nucleotides) under uncultured bacterium. RNAcentral describes it as "bacterial SSU rRNA". It matches the Rfam family "Bacterial small subunit ribosomal RNA", at positions 355 to 773 of the family's 1533-position model. The record is from RNAcentral.
UGGGGAAUAUUGCGCAAUGGGCGAAAGCCUGACGCAGCGACGCCGCGUGAGGGAUGAAGGCCUUCGAGUUGUAAACCUCUUUCAGCAGGGAAGAAGCGAAAGUGACGGUACCUGCAGAAGAAGCACCGGCUAACUACGUGCCAGCAGCCGCGGUAAUACGUAGGGUGCAAGCGUUGUCCGGAAUUAUUGGGCGUAAAGAGCUCGUAGGCGGUUUGUCGCGUCUGCUGUGAAAUCCCAGGGCUUAACCCUGGGCCUGCAGUGGGUACGGGCAAACUAGAGUGCGGUAGGGGAGAUCGGAAUUCCUGGUGUAGCGGUGAAAUGCGCAGAUAUCAGGAGGAACACCGGUGGCGAAGGCGGAUCUCUGGGCCGUAACUGACGCUGAAGAGCGAAAGCAUGGGUAGCGAAC